GAUCUGGUCAGGAUGAACGCUGGCGGCGUGCCUAACACAUAGCAAGGUCGAACGGGGUUAAGUGAAAUUUUCGGAUGGAGCUUAACUUAGUGGCGGACGGGUGAGUAACGCGUGGAUAACCUGCCUCACACUGGGGGAUAGCAGCUGGAAACGGCUGGUAAUACCGCAUAAGACCACAGCACCGCAUGGUGCAGGGGUAAAAGAUUUAUCGGUGUGAGAUGGAUCCGCGUCUGAUUAGCCAGUUGGCGGGUAACGGCCACCAAAGCGACGAUCAGUAGCCGGCCUGAGAGGGUGAACGGCCACAUUGGGACUGAGACACGGCCCAAACUCCUACGGGAGGCAGCAGUGGGGAAUAGUUGCACAAUGGGCGCAAGCCUGAUGCAGCAACGCCCGCGUGAGUGAAGAAGUAUUUCGGUAUGUAAAGCUCUAUCGGCAGGGAAGAAAGGCCCUUAACAGGGAGAUGACGGUACCUGACUAAGAAGCCCCGGCUAACUACGUGCCAGCCGCGGC
RNAcentral lists this ribosomal RNA (510 nucleotides) under uncultured bacterium. Its description in RNAcentral is "bacterial SSU rRNA". It matches the Rfam family "Bacterial small subunit ribosomal RNA", at positions 15 to 518 of the family's 1533-position model. The record is from RNAcentral.